Molecule: transfer RNA, 72 nt
Organism: Syntrophobotulus glycolicus DSM 8271
Lineage: Bacteria; Bacillati; Bacillota; Clostridia; Eubacteriales; Desulfitobacteriaceae
Rfam family: tRNA
About the family: Transfer RNA (tRNA) molecules are approximately 80 nucleotides in length. Their secondary structure includes four short double-helical elements and three loops (D, anti-codon, and T loops). Further hydrogen bonds mediate the characteristic L-shaped molecular structure. tRNAs have two regions of fundamental functional importance: the anti-codon, which is responsible for specific mRNA codon recognition, and the 3' end, to which the tRNAs corresponding amino acid is attached (by aminoacyl-tRNA synthetases). tRNAs cope with the degeneracy of the genetic code in two manners: having more than one tRNA (with a specific anti-codon) for a particular amino acid; and 'wobble' base-pairing, i.e. permitting non-standard base-pairing at the 3rd anti-codon position.
Source: Rfam
UCCUCGAUAGCUCAAUGGUGGAGCAACCGGCUGUUAACCGGUAGGUUGCUGGUUCGAGUCCAGCUCGGGGAG